This 219-nucleotide long non-coding RNA is filed under the name Elaeis guineensis (African oil palm). Its description in RNAcentral is "long non-coding RNA (EGUI_LNC081108)". The record is from RNAcentral. Lineage: Eukaryota; Viridiplantae; Streptophyta; Magnoliopsida; Arecales; Arecaceae.
UCCUGUGACUCCUCACUAGGACUACCCUGACCAAGGUUUUGCUAAAUUGAAACACGACUGUACAUAGCUCCUGAACUGGAGUGGUCAAUCCCAUCUUGACACACGCACCGACAAGUCAAGUACUUGACUACACCCAGCAGCCUUCCGUCACUGAAUUAGAAAUUCAGGUAGUCCAGUGCCUAAGUGCAGUGAGUUGCUUACAAGUCACCGUGGCGGUCU